RNAcentral lists this ribosomal RNA (451 nucleotides) under uncultured bacterium. RNAcentral's name for it is "partial 16S ribosomal RNA". It matches the Rfam family "Bacterial small subunit ribosomal RNA", at positions 28 to 507 of the family's 1533-position model. The record is from RNAcentral.
GAUGAACGCUGGCGGCGUGCCUAACACAUGCAAGUCGAGCGGCAGCGAGGGGUGCUUGCACCCUGUCGGCGAGCGGCGGACGGCUGAGUAACGCGUGGGAACGUGCCCCAAAGUGAGGAAUAACUGCCCGAAAGGGUAGCUAAUACCGCAUAUUAUCUUCGGAUCAAAGGAUUUAUCCGCUUUGGGAGCGGCUCGCGUCGGAUUAGGUAGUUGGUGAGGUAAUGGCUCACCAAGCCGACGAUCCGUAGCUGGUCUGAGAGGAUGACCAGCCAGACUGGAACUGAGACACGGUCCAGACUCCUACGGGAGGCAGCAGUGAGGAAUCUUCCACAAUGGGCGAAAGCCUGAUGGAGCAACGCCGCGUGCAGGACGAAGGCCUUCGGGUUGUAAACUGCUUUUAUAAGUGAGGAACAUGACGGUAACUUAUGAAUAAGGAUCGGCUAACUACGUG